AAUCAACGCUGGCGGCGUGCCUCAGACAUGCAAGUCGAACGAUUAAAGCUCUCUUCGGAGAGUGCAUAGAGUGGCGCACGGGUGAGUAACACGUAAGUAAUCUACCUUCGAGUGGGGAAUAACGUCCGGAAACGGACGCUAAUACCGCAUAAUGCAGCGGCACCUAAUGGUGACGGUUGUUAAAGGAGCAAUCCGCUUGAAGAGGAGCUUGCGGCAGAUUAGCUAGUUGGUAAGGUAACGGCUUACCAAGGCUACGAUCUGUAACCGGUCUAAGAGGACGGUCGGUCACACUGACACUGAAUAACGGGUCAGACUCCUACGGGAGGCAGCAGUCGGGAAUUUUGGGCAAUGGGCGAAAGCCUGACCCA
This 368-nucleotide ribosomal RNA is filed under the name uncultured bacterium. RNAcentral's name for it is "bacterial SSU rRNA". It matches the Rfam family "Bacterial small subunit ribosomal RNA", at positions 32 to 390 of the family's 1533-position model. The record is from RNAcentral.